RNAcentral lists this ribosomal RNA (495 nucleotides) under uncultured bacterium. RNAcentral describes it as "partial 16S ribosomal RNA". It matches the Rfam family "Bacterial small subunit ribosomal RNA", at positions 28 to 507 of the family's 1533-position model. The record is from RNAcentral.
GAUGAACGCUGGCGGCGUGCCUAAUACAUGCAAGUAGAACGCUGAAGGAGGAGCUUGCUCUUCUGGAUGAGUUGCGAACGGGUGAGUAACGCGUAGGUAACCUGCCUGGUAGCGGGGGAUAACUAUUGGAAACGAUAGCUAAUACCGCAUGACAACAGUUAUUGCAUGAUAACUGUUUAAAAGGGGCAACUGCUCCACUACCAGAUGGACCUGCGUUGUAUUAGCUAGUUGGUGAGGUAACGGCUCACCAAGGCGACGAUACAUAGCCGACCUGAGAGGGUGAUCGGCCAAACUGGGACUGAGACACGGCCCAGACUCCUAAGGGAGGCAGCAGUAGGGAAUCUUCGGCAAUGGACGGAAGUCUGACCGAGCAACGCCGCGUGAGUGAAGAAGGUUUUCGGAUCGUAAAGCUCUGUUGCAAGAGAAGAACGAGUGUGAGAGUGGAAAGUUCACACUGUGACGGUAUCUUACCAGAAAGGGACGGCUAACUACGUG